AUGGCGGUUCUGCAGGGGGGAAGGAGAGAGAGAUGUGAGGCCUGUGAGAGAGAGGAGAAAAAGAAGGGUCGCGGUGGCGCGCUACUCACCGGUGGCGAGGAAACGGCGUGGCGGGGAACUGAUCUGGUGGUUGCCGGCGGCGCGACAGACGAGGACGGCGGGGUUCGGAUCCAGCGGCCGGCGCGUUGGUCUGAAGCAGAGGAGGCAGCGACGUUCGAAGACACGGGCAUCGGCGGCGAUGCAGCACGAGGACGGCAGCGUCGAAGCCCGCGGUGGUCUCCAUGGCGAGUCAAGGCAGGGCGCACUGCUGCUGGCCAGCGCGUGGACGAGCUCUGGCUCCUGGUUCGAGUGGGGGCGCGAGAAAAUCGGGGCGCCGUGGUGCUCUGCUCCCUGGCGAGCUCAAGCAAGGCAAAGGGGAUCCACGACGCAAAGAGAAACAGAUCUGGGAGGAUCCCGAGGUGGGAUUUAAGUGUGGCGGCGGCGGAAGGAUGGAUGGGACAGCUUCCUAGAAAUUAG
RNAcentral lists this ribosomal RNA (516 nucleotides) under Triticum aestivum (bread wheat). Its description in RNAcentral is "partial small subunit ribosomal RNA". The record is from RNAcentral. Lineage: Eukaryota; Viridiplantae; Streptophyta; Magnoliopsida; Poales; Poaceae.